UGCAAGUCGGACGAGAAGGUUCCUUCGGGAACUGGAGAGUGGCGCACGGGUGAGUAACGCGUGGGGACCUACCUCUUAGUGGGGGAUAACGGUUGGAAACGACCGCUAAUACCGCAUACGCCCUUCGGGGGAAAGAUUUAUCGCUAAGAGAUGGACCCGCGUUGGAUUAGAUAGUUGGUGAGGUAACGGCUCACCAAGUCAGCGAUCCAUAGCUGGUUUGAGAGGAUGAUCAGCCACACUGGGACUGAGACACGGCCCAGACUCCUACGGGAGGCAGCAGUGGGGAAUAUUGGACAAUGGGGGCAACCCUGAUCCAGCCAUGCCGCGUGAGUGAAGAAGGCCUUCGGGUUGUAAAGCUCUUUCAGAUGCGAAGAUGAUGACGGUAACAUCAGAAGAAGCCCCGGCUAAUUUCGUGCCAGCAGCCGCGGUAAUACGAAAGGGGCUAGCGUUGUUCGGAUUUACUGGGCGUAAAGGGCACGCAGGCGGUCUUGCCAGUCAGGGGUGAAAGCCCGAGGCUCAACCUCGGAACUGCCUCUGAUACUGUAAGACUUGAGAGUAGGAGAGGGUGGUGGAAUUCCCAGUGUAGAGGUGAAAUUCGUAGAUAUUGGGAGGAACACCAGAGGCGAAGGCGGCCACCUGGACUAGAUCUGACGCUCAG
RNAcentral lists this ribosomal RNA (658 nucleotides) under bacterium ER-Se-21-dark. RNAcentral's name for it is "bacterial SSU rRNA". It matches the Rfam family "Bacterial small subunit ribosomal RNA", at positions 56 to 750 of the family's 1533-position model. The record is from RNAcentral.